Molecule: small RNA, 596 nt
Filed under: Pan troglodytes (chimpanzee)
Lineage: Eukaryota; Metazoa; Chordata; Mammalia; Primates; Hominidae
Description: processed transcript
Source: RNAcentral
AGAGCCAGUCAUGGCGGAGUCCUGGUCUGGGCAGGCCUUGCAGGCUCUGCCGGCCACGGUGCUGGGCGCGCUGGGCGCGCUAGGCAGCGAGUUCUUGCGGGAGUGGGAGGCGCAGGACAUGCGCGUGACCCUCUUCAAGCUGCUGCUGCUGUGGUUGGUGUUAAGUCUCCUGGGCAUCCAGCUGGCGUGGGGGUUCUACGGGAAUACAGUGACCGGGUUGUAUCACCGUCCAGGUGAGGCUUCCUACGAACCUCUGUGGGCUGGCCGCCCCCGCCCCCACCCUCUCCCUACUGUACCAUUGGGUUCCCCACUAUCCUGCAAGAGGCUCAUCAGAACUUAACAUUGGUUCACGGCCUUACCACCCUGAACGCAUCUGACCUCGGAAGCUAAGCCAGUCCCUUAGGACCCUCACCAGACUUCACCAAACAAUACCAGUGGUCUGUAACCUGACCUGGGCUGAUGCCUGCUCAGAUUCCCACCCCAGCCUUCUGCAGCUCUGGAUGUGUUUCUGCCUCCAGGUCUGGGUGGUCAGAAUGGAUCCACGCCUGAUGGCUCCACGCAUUUCCCUUCGUGGUGAGUAAAUCUGUCCAUACCGC